This is a long non-coding RNA of Conger conger (European conger), 591 nucleotides long. RefSeq lists it as uncharacterized. The record is from RefSeq and is a predicted model, not a curated record. NCBI's taxonomy places the organism in Eukaryota, Metazoa, Chordata, Actinopteri, Anguilliformes, Congridae. The transcript has 3 exons.
ACUGUUGAUCUGUCUUCACAGUGAGACAGUGCAGGCCUACUCCACCCAGUUCAUCCUGUCCAGAGAGCUGGAAGUCAUUCUCCUGCAAGUGUUACCUCUUCGUACAGACCAAGCGGAAUUGGGACGAUUGUCGCACUCACUGCCAAGAACAGGGAGCUGACCUGGUCAUUAUCAAUAACGAAGCUGAACAGGAGUUCAUCAGCCAAAAUGCAGGAAACAUAGAAGAGUACUGGACCGGCCUAUAUGACCCAGACCCAAACCAGAGUUUCUUCCGCUGGGUGGACGGGACCCGUCCGCAGACAACGUUCUGGAAGCCCGGAGAACCAGAUGGGAAGAGAAACCAAAAAGGAUGUGCAUACACUGGACCUGGUGCUUUGAAAUGGGGCAGCACAAACUGUGUCCAAAGCAGGUGGUCGAUCUGUGAGAGAAAGCAAUAGUUCAUCUGAAACUAGAAAUAAGAAUGAAGAAAAAAUAUUUUGAAUGGCAAAUCAACUGUUUGCACCUUUAUAAUCUUUAAAUAUUAGUGAACUGAUCGAUGAACAAAUGGUCAAUUUAAAUGCAUUGCUUCAAAUAAUAAAGAAAAUAACUAUU